CGCGCUGCCCUCAAACCAAAGCACGCAGACUGUUUUUAUUUAUAGGCUGUUUCAACUUCAAUUUCAAAUGAUUUUCUAACAAGUUUUUAUUUUCUAAGAACAGUUUGAAUUUAGGUGUGUUCCGCCUCCUCAAUCAUUCACAUAAAAAUAGUCAUUUUUACUUUUGCGGACAAUUACAUUUUUGGGACAUUUCUGACCCGGACAAAAUUCCCCAAGCACUUUCCAAUUGUUUGUGCAGUUCAAGUCUGCAGACAUUUGCUAAUCUCCCGUCAGAAAAGGAUCUGCACACGUGUUCACAUUUUCCAUCUGUUGCCCUCAUUGUUUUCGUUACUAAUAAUAACUUUGGAAAUGUGUGCGUUUCUAUCAAAUGGCGCAGCGGUCAAAGGCACAGCACGGUGCUAGAGACGUCACUACAGACUCCCUGGUUCAAAUCCAUGCUGCGUUUCUAAAAACCACAAACAGUAUUUGCCAAUAUCAUAACUGGACAUCUUUCGAGCUGAAGAUUGAGGACAGCUUUUGUAUGCUAACGUUCUCUCCUUAACAGUUUUACUGGAUGGAAACACAGCAAGAAAACACAUAGGCCAAUAUGUAAUAGUCGUCUAUUUUAUUGAAGUAUUGGUAGUUGGUUCAACAACAACUUGUUUUACUAGAGGACAAAAAAUGUAAUAUGCAUAACCCAUAUUUAAUAUUCAUGCAGU
Salmo salar (Atlantic salmon) is the source of this 698-nucleotide non-coding RNA. The record is from RefSeq and is a predicted model, not a curated record. NCBI's taxonomy places the organism in Eukaryota, Metazoa, Chordata, Actinopteri, Salmoniformes, Salmonidae.